UAAAAAUGGCAUGAGGUGUGCAAUUUACUCAGAGGGCAGUGAGGCACUGGUACAGGCUGCCCAGAGGAGCUGUGGGUGCCCCAUCCCUGGUCUCUUUCAAUCCAAGCAGUUCUGUGAUAGUAUGAUGCAAAAGUGAAGUAAUAGAAGAAAUAUGCCAACACAACUGCAUUAGCUAAACCAAGGAUAUUGACAGAUACUGCAAAGGGAUCAUGCACUUAAACUGCCACAAGCAAAGGAAAGAUGUCUCUAUCUGACACCAUGAACAUCUUUUCAGGAUAGGUUGGGGCUUUUCCCACUAGGAGGAAUACAGCCACUGUAACUGUAAAUGUGCUAUUGAAGGAGAUUGUCCAUAGAUUUGGAACAGCAGUUGAGAUAGGAUGAGAUAAAGGAGUUUUUUAUAAGUGAAGUAACUCAAGUCUUAUGAGUAACCAGGAGAUUAAACAAAGUCUCAAUAUACACUACCACUUGCAAUCUUCCAGACUGGCAAAAAAAAAUGAGUCAGAGUAUCAAAAAUAGGAUAAAGUUAAUUGUAGGGCAAUAUCCAAAAUGAUGGACUGAAAAAUUACUCUUGAUCUUAGUAGGAUUGAGAAGCAGUGACAAAUGAGGGACUGGUUUACAACAGUACCAUGUUUUGUUUGGCUAGUGUGUUCCUUGGUGGCUCAGUGUCCAAGACUCUAAAAUACUGAGGCAAGAUAAGGCAGAAAUAAGGCUCAAAAGCAAGGUGAGAAGAAUAGGGAAGCUGAGAAUGAAUAAUAAAAUUCAUACAUUGAUUAUGAAGGGUCAAAUAAUAUAUCUGAAAUUGGAUAGAAAGAAACAAGCCUUAGAGACAAAGUGGAAGGGGACCUAUUAUGUUACUAAUAGGAUAAAUCCUCUAAGAUAUUAAGUAGAUGAGGGCAAUGGUAAAUACAAAUGGGUUCAUGUUUCUCCAGUGUCUCCCUAAGAGGCCAAGUCAUUCUGGAAUUUGACAUGGAUUUGCCAAGAGCACGGACACGGAAAGCCCCCCCAGCACUCAGCCUGCUCGGUGAGCCCAACCCUGUCCCAGUUCAGGAGUAAGGGACUGCCACUCACUUGUGCUGGCGUGCGUAGCUGCAGCAAAUCUGUUUAUGUGCUUGCGUACGAACAGUGCUGGUUUAUGCCUUGAGCUUUGCUUAUUUUCUAUUUUUGUAGGGCAACAGAUUUUACUACAGCCCCACGAGCAAGCAGCAGCUGAGAGAGUCAUGGUGCAGCGAUGCAAACUCCGAAGCAAAGCGGAGGAGUUGAGGUCUCCGGCAGUUUGCAAGAAUUUUUAACUUGGCUCCUCACUCCAUAUUAACAGCUUUGUUCUUUUUAUAUAUUGCAUUAAUUAUAGACAUUUAACAAGGCAGAAAAUGACUGUGAAGUGCCUUGGAGAAUCCAAGGCGAUCACCCUCAGACCUUUAUGGGCUUUGAGGCCAAACCAGCGUCCUUUUCUUAGUGAUAUGUCUAACCUGUGACCUAGCCUGCCUUAGCGUCGAUUACCUUGCUGCAGCUUCUUAAUGUGAUAGUAAUAACUUAAGAUCCCAAAUUAAAAAUUGUUACAGCUCUUAAGGGAACCUUGAGAGUUACAGCUCAAAGAUCUGGAUCCACCCAGAUUGGGAAAUCAUAGCUGAAGCUUUGGAAAAAUGUUCUAAAAUUACAACAGCUGAAUGAAGUAGGUAGUUUUGUUCAUUUACGGGACAAUUCUCCAAGGAGGACUAACUCGAGGAGAAACAGAUUUCUGUAAUGCUCUUUUGAGCAAGUGCCUGAGUGUGGAGGAAUUCAGGAGGGGGUCAAAUAAGAGAGGAAGCAGAAAGGAUGCUUGAAGCGAAUGGGAGACUGUGCUGUUAGCAGCUAACUAGAUACAAUUUGAGAGAACUGAGGGUUAAAUAUACCUAUACAAAAAUCUGAAAUGGGAAAUAUGUAUUGAAUUGUAAGGUAUUAUGACUGAGCGACAGCAGAGGUAACACAGAAGGGUGAUAGCAUUUGUAAGUAGUGGAACAUACCUAGCCAAUAACCAAAAUUAUCCACUGGGCCAUGAAUUUCUUUAAAGAAUAAAUGAUAAAAAUCCAUAUACAGAGGAUAAGAAUGCUAGAAGUCUGUACAUAAAUGUUACUAUUGAUUGUGCAAACAACUACUCUUACUUUCCCAACCUGUUGUCCCCCUAACUGUUGUGCUGCCUCCGCACAUCCCAAGCCUAGCUCUGAUACUGCCCAGCUGCAUAACCUUGGGCCACAUUCUGAGCAAACUGCUCAGCCAUGAGACAGCUGGCAAGAAGAUAAGAAGGGCAGAAACAGAGGGAGUAAAACUGAGAGCUUUGAGCCAGAGCAAGUGAUUUAUAUCAACAGUGAAAGCUAGAUGAGACCGGACUUGAGGACCCUAAUUGCAUGCUACCUUCCUCAGAAGUGAACAGUAAUAGAAUUAGUCAUGCUUCUGAGCCACAUCAGGUGACAAUGAUAUUGGGCUAUGUAAGAACAAGGUGAUGCUGUAUUUGUGCAAUACUGGAGAAGUGAAAGCCUGUGAAAUUCUCCCACAGGACUUGAGUGCCAGAACCGAUAAACUCAAGCACCAAGGCUGCCCAAGGCCACCAGCACACAUGAGCAUCAACAGCUGUGGCUGUAAGCUGCAGUAGCUGAGCUACUGAACACCAACAGCCCAGCUGGUUGUGAUCUGUGUCCCUCCCCUCAUCAAGAAAAUUGCUGCCCAGGUGGGGCUAGGAGGGUGAGAAGUGGGAGGCAUUAGGAGUCAAUUGAAGCUGACAAAAGGGGCUGCCACAGUCUCAGGUGUGGGAGCUUUUAAAAGAGUGUUUGGAGGCUCUGCUUCUGGUCUUGGGAUUGUCCUAUGAUGCUUGAGUUGGGGGGGGAGAAUGCAGGGCCAACUGGAGCCUGAACCUGAGUGACAACCCUGACUUCUCCUGGCACAGACUUUAUCACCAGAUGUACAUGGCUAAGUGCUCAUGAAGGUCAUGGUGAAAACACAGCAAGAGGAAGGUUUCUCUUAUUCGGAUCCAAGCCCUUAUGUCUGUACACCUGACAAGGUUGCACACUCCUUUCCAGCACAUCCAGUGGACCCAAAUUCCCGCAACCCUUUCACCCAAGGUCCCGCUUCCCAUCAAACACAACACAGCAGCCCUGCCUGCCCAAUUGCCAAACUCUCACCCCUUUGCCAGGCAGAGCCAGCAUCCCAAGUACUGAUCUGACAAAGCAGCCUGGAAAAUCCCUGUUUUUGAAGAACCACAGGAAGAAUGCAAAUGUAUCACCCAUGGCAAGAUUCAUGUCUCCCGGCAGGCUUAAGAGGAUGACUCAUCAAAGCCUUGUGCUUGUCUUCUGGAUCUUCAAAGUGUAUCAACAGUGUUUUAUUGAUCCAUAGUCAUGGAAAGUAAAGAAAGAAGAGUCUGAGAUCUACACUGGUACGAUAUGUCUGACUUCAGUAAUUCUACCAUUAAGCUACUGGGUUGACACCGUGGAACAAAGGGUCUACAGUAUGGUAUUUCCUGUUCUCCCAGUGGUAGGACAGUUCUCUACAAAUACAGAUACUUUAAUCCAUUGGAGAAGAGAAUACAUCAGUAGCUGAAAGUUAGGUAAAGAAUAAAAGUUCAAGUUAGUAGUAAGAGAUGGAUUUUUUUAAUAGUGAGAGUGAGCAAACCCGCUGAGCAUUCAGGAAGCCAUAUUCCCCCUUGUUUAAAGUUUCCUGAGCAGAAUGGGUUAUUUCACUUGAAGAUAGUGCCUAUCAGACACAGAGACAGGACAGUAAGACUAAUGGGGAUUGUACACCAACAUGCUGCAGGAGAUAUGGAGGAGAUACAGUUGUGACAUCUGUGACCCGCAACCACAAAGCACAGAGCUGGAGCAGCAGUGCCUGCUGUCCCCAGUCAGGAUGGCAUGACAGACCCCUGCUAUUUCCCACCAUCACAGGAUGGCUGAGGUUCUUCUGCCCUCCACCUAAACAAGAGCUGGCCUUUGAAACGUGACAUUUUUAUUGAGAAAAGAUGGGUUCAAACAACCCCACACCAUCCCUGCAGAGGAAGACUAACUUUCUCACAUGUACCUACUGGGAAAAUGUGUGUUUCUGCAUCACGUAAUGCAGUGGAAAUUAUGAGAUUUAAGUGCUCAUCCUUUCCCCUUUCUCACGCUCGUGGGGGCAGUGUCUGUGUCAAGAGAGUUAACAGUAUGUUCACUGAUUUAAUUUACAUUAAGGACGUGCUAGAUUGCAACAAGCUGUGCUUUUAAAAGAGGAAAGGAGUCAGAGACAGAAUAGGAACCUAGAAAAAACCUCCUCAUUCUUACACCCCAAACAGCACCAGAAGCAAAUAAAUGCCUUCUGGGGGACGAGCUUACAUUCAAUUUUCUCCUUUUUCUCAUAUUGCUUCCCUGCUUCUCCCAUUGGUUUGCCUUUGCCUGCUUACGUCUGACCUGCAGUCCCAGAAGCCUGGCUGUAGCCUGAGGGGAUUUGCCUUGUGCCUUAAGUGGGAUAGCAUUUGGUUUUCCUUAUCAGUCACCAGUAGGGCCAUGUGUUUUGUCUCUGCUCCCCCUCCCUGCAAAUGUGUGGUUGAGGGCAACAAGAGACAAGGGGUCCUUGUAAGUGACUUAUGAUAAUUGCAGAGCAGCAACUGCUCUGAAAAUCUAAAUUCCUCCCUGACAUUUCCAGUCUAAAGCUCCCACUGACUCAGCUGCUGCUUGUGAUAUUUAAACAAGGAUUAUCUCCUUUUUUAUUCUUUUCUUUUUGAUAAUGGGAUGGCAGAAGGUUAUUUUAACACUUUCCUACAGUUUGUUUGGCUGAUACAGAACCAGCAGUCUUCAGGAUGUAACCACAUCUCCGCUUCCCAAGUCACUCAUUUAGCAUGACUGGGAUGAAUGAAGGCUCCCAUGAUUUAAAAAAAAAUAAAAGAAGAAGAAGGAUCUUUCCCCGAAUUGUCAUCUUUUCCAUUUUUUUCCUUUAGCAUAAGUUUGUUAUGCUGGAAAAUUUACUACUUUGGGUGUAAAAAGAUUUAUCCCUUUGGCUUCAGCACAACUGCUCCAGGCUCAUCCUAUCUAAGACCUCAGGUAUUGCACUUAAUGGUAGUUUUUUGCUACAAAUAUUGAUUAUAUUUUGUAGGAAUGCUGAACAGCAUCUCCAAAAACGAACCCUAUAGAAAGCUCAGGGCGUUUUUUGAUUCCUGAGAAAAUAAGUGCAUAAGCAUGGGGGGAGAACAUCUGCUAAAGGAAGCUGAAAUGUGGUCUUCAAGACUGCAUCAAAAUAACUGGCAAAUGUCCUUCUCACCCUGUCUCCAAGUGCCUUAACAUUCUCUCUAGCUGGGAGAAACAUGAGGGAAGGCACAGGCAGAUAAGAGAACCAGAGCAGAAGGAGACACAGAAAGCUGAGGGAUGUGUGCUGGGAAAGAGAAAAGAAGGAGAGAUGCAGAUGGGGGAGAAAACAAGGAAAGUCAUAAAAAGUUACCAGAGCAAAAAACCUUUGAAUAUUUGAGUUUGUGAGCUGAUGAGCUGAAGGACCUUCAAAAUGCACAAUUUUCAUCCACUUCCCAAGACAAAUGACUCCUGUAUGACAUUCUCUGCCUAUGUACUUUUCUAUGACCAAGUAUCCUUGAGAAAUUUCUUUUUCCUCCGUGUUUAUCCCUUAUGUCUAGCUGCUGUCUCUACUGCAGAUUUGGCAGCUCUGUGAGAAAGGGACCAAGGCUCUCCAUCAUUUCAGAAGCCGCCUGACAAGCAAGGGACAGCACUGCAAUCAAGGAAAAUCAAAGAGCAGAAACUCACAUCUGCUAUUCUAGACUUCAAAAGGGCAUCCAAAAUGCAGAAAGUCAGUCCCCAUCAUGACAUAACAAGCAUCCAGUCCCAAGUGUUGGCUCAUCCAGAGCAAGGUCACCAUGCCCUGGAAGCUGAUCCAAGGUGGCCACCCAGGACACAUAGGCUCUGGGAUG
Long non-coding RNA from Numida meleagris (helmeted guineafowl), 5908 nucleotides. RefSeq lists it as uncharacterized. The record is from RefSeq and is a predicted model, not a curated record. The transcript has 4 exons. NCBI's taxonomy places the organism in Eukaryota, Metazoa, Chordata, Aves, Galliformes, Numididae.